Molecule: ribosomal RNA, 877 nt
Filed under: uncultured bacterium
Lineage: Bacteria
Description: bacterial SSU rRNA
Rfam family: Bacterial small subunit ribosomal RNA
Source: RNAcentral
GGCGGUUAGAUAANUCUGAAGUUAAAGGCUGUGGCUUAACCAUAGUACGCUUUGGAAACUGUUUAACUUGAGUGCAGAAGGGGAGAGUGGAAUUCCAUGUGUAGCGGUGAAAUGCGUAGAUAUAUGGAGGAACACCGGUGGCGAAAGCGGCUCUCUGGUCUGUAACUGACGCUGAGGCUCGAAAGCGUGGGGAGCGAACAGGAUUAGAUACCCUGGUAGUCCACGCCGUAAACGAUGAGUGCUAGGUGUUAGGCCCUUUCCGGGGCUUAGUGCCGCAGCUAACGCAUUAAGCACUCCGCCUGGGGAGUACGACCGCAAGGUUGAAACUCAAAGGAAUUGACGGGGGCCCGCACAAGCGGUGGAGCAUGUGGUUUAAUUCGAAGCAACGCGAAGAACCUUACCAGGUCUUGACAUCCCGAUGCCCGCUCUAGAGAUAGAGUUUUACUUCGGUACAUCGGUGACAGGUGGUGCAUGGUUGUCGUCAGCUCGUGUCGUGAGAUGUUGGGUUAAGUCCCGCAACGAGCGCAACCCUUAUUGUUAGUUGCCAUCAUUCAGUUGGGCACUCUAGCGAGACUGCCGGUAAUAAACCGGAGGAAGGUGGGGAUGACGUCAAAUCAUCAUGCCCCUUACGACCUGGGCUACACACGUGCUACAAUGGCUGGUACAACGAGUCGCAAGUCGGUGACGGCAAGCUAAUCUCUUAAAGCCAGUCUCAGUUCGGAUUGUAGGCUGCAACUCGCCUACAUGAAGUCGGAAUCGCUAGUAAUCGCGGAUCAGCACGCCGCGGUGAAUACGUUCCCGGGCCUUGUACACACCGCCCGUCACACCACGAGAGUUUGUAACACCCGAAGUCGGUGAGGUANCCUUUUAGGAGCCA